GGCCAGACCUACGGGAGGCAGCAGUGGGGGAUAUUGCACAAUGGGGGAAACCCUGAUGCAGCGACGCCGCGUGGGUGAAGAAGCGCCUCGGCGCGUAAAGCCCUGUCAGCAGGGAAGAAAAUGACGGUACCUGAAGAAGAAGCCCCGGCUCACUACGUGCCAGCAGCCGCGGUAAUACGUAGGGGGCAAGCGUUGUCCGGAAUUACUGGGCGUAAAGGGCGCGUAGGUGGGCGCUUAAGUCAGGUGUGAAAACUCCGGGCUCAACCUGGAGACUGCACUUGAAACUGGGUGUCUUGAGGGCAGGAGAGGAAAGUGGAAUUCCUAGUGUAGCGGUGAAAUGCGUAGAUAUUAGGAGGAACACCAGUGGCGAAGGCGGCUUACUGGACAGUAACUGACGUUGAGGCUCGAAAGCGUGGGGAGCAAACAGGAUUAGAUACCCCCGUAAAG
This 447-nucleotide ribosomal RNA is filed under the name uncultured bacterium. Its description in RNAcentral is "bacterial SSU rRNA". It matches the Rfam family "Bacterial small subunit ribosomal RNA", at positions 329 to 793 of the family's 1533-position model. The record is from RNAcentral.